GGAGGGUGCAAGCGUUGUUCGGAUUUACUGGCGUAAAGCGUGUCUAGGCGGGAUUUGUAAGUUAGGGUGUGAAAGACCCCCGGCUUAACCGGGGAGGGUCGCCUAAUACUGCAGGUCUUGAGUCCCGGAGGGUGAGUGGAAUUCCCAGUGUAGAGGUGAAAUUCGUAGAGAUUGGGAGGAACACCGGUGGCGAAAGCGACUCACUAAUCGGGCACUGACGCUCAAGCACGAAAGCGUGGGUAGCAAACAGGAUUAGAUACCCUGGUAGUCCACGCCGUAAACGAUGGAUACUAGGUGUUGGAGGAAUUGAUCCCUUCAGUGCCGACGCUAACGCAUUAAGUAUCCCGCCUGGGGAGUACGGCCGCAAAGGCUA
Molecule: ribosomal RNA, 373 nt
Filed under: uncultured organism
Description: partial 16S ribosomal RNA
Rfam family: Bacterial small subunit ribosomal RNA
Source: RNAcentral